GAUGAACGCUGGCGGCGUGCUUAACACAUGCAAGUCGAACGGAAAGGCUCCUGCUUGCAGGGGUACUCGAGUGGCGAACGGGUGAGUAACACGUGGGUGAUCUGCCCUGCACUUCGGGAUAAGCCUGGGAAACUGGGUCUAAUACCGGAUAGGACGAUGGUUUGGAUGCCAUUGUGGAAAGUUUUUCGGUGUGGGAUGAGCUCGCGGCCUAUCAGCUUGUUGGUGGGGUAAUGGCCUACCAAGGCGUCGACGGGUAGCCGGCCUGAGAGGGUGUACGGCCACAUUGGGACUGAGAUACGGCCCAGACUCCUACGGGAGGCAGCAGUGGGGAAUAUUGCACAAUGGGCGCAAGCCUGAUGCAGCGACGCCGCGUGGGGGAUGACGGCCUUCGGGUUGUAAACUCCUUUCGCUAGGGACGAAGCGCAAGUGACGGUAACUGGUGAAGAAGCACCGGCUAACUACGUG
This 465-nucleotide ribosomal RNA is filed under the name uncultured bacterium. RNAcentral describes it as "partial 16S ribosomal RNA". It matches the Rfam family "Bacterial small subunit ribosomal RNA", at positions 28 to 507 of the family's 1533-position model. The record is from RNAcentral.